GCCGUGGCUCAGUGGUAGAACAUCCGCUUGGCAUGUAGAAGGUCCCAGGUUCAAAUCCUGGCAUCUCCA
RNAcentral lists this transfer RNA (69 nucleotides) under Sphaerodactylus townsendi. RNAcentral describes it as "tRNA-Ala". It matches the Rfam family "tRNA". From Rfam's summary of the family: Transfer RNA (tRNA) molecules are approximately 80 nucleotides in length. The record is from RNAcentral. Lineage: Eukaryota; Metazoa; Chordata; Lepidosauria; Squamata; Sphaerodactylidae.